UCUGUAAAGUUCCUUCGACGAGUCGAGUAGUUUGGGAAUGCUGCUCUAAAUGGGAGGUAUAUGUCUUCUAAAGCUAAAUACCGGCCAGAGACCGAUAGCGCACAAGUAGAGUGAUCGAAAGAUGAAAAGCACUUUGAAAAGAGAGUUAAAAAGUACGUGAAAUUGUUGAAAGGGAAGCGUUUAUGACCAGACUUGGGCUUGGUUGAUCAUCUGGGGUUCUCCCCAGUGCACUCUUCCAGUCCAGGCCAGCAUCAGUUUUCGCCGGGGGAUAAAGACUUCGGGAAUGUGGCUCUCUUCGGGGAGUGUUAUAGCCCGUUGUGUAAUACCCUGGCGGGGACUGAGGUUCGCGCAUCUGCAAGGAUGCUGGCGUAAUGGUCAUCAACGACCCGUCUUGAAACACGGACCAAGGAGUCGUCUUCGUAUGCGAGUGUUCGGGUGUCAAACCCCUACGCGUAAUGAAAGUGAACGCAGGUGAGAGCUUCGGCGCAUCAUCGACCGAUCCUGAUGUUCUCGGAUGGAUUUGAGUAAGAGCAUACGGGGCCGGACCCGAAAGAAGGUGAACUAUGCCUGUAUAGGGUGAAGCCAGAGGAAACUCUGGUGGAGGCUCGCAGCGGUUCUGACGUGCAAAU
RNAcentral lists this ribosomal RNA (629 nucleotides) under Fusarium andiyazi. RNAcentral's name for it is "eukaryotic LSU rRNA". It matches the Rfam family "Eukaryotic large subunit ribosomal RNA", at positions 243 to 898 of the family's 3401-position model. The record is from RNAcentral. Lineage: Eukaryota; Fungi; Ascomycota; Sordariomycetes; Hypocreales; Nectriaceae.